AUUGAACGCUAGCGGGAUGCUUUACACAUGCAAGUCGAACGGUAGCACGAAGAAAGCUUGCUUUCUUUGGUGACGAGUGGCGAACGGGUGAGUAAUGUAUCGGAACGUACCCAGUAGCGGGGGAUAACUACGCGAAAGCGUGGCUAAUACCGCAUACGCCCUACGGGGAAAGGGGGGGAUCGCAAGACCUCUCACUAUUGGAGCGGCCGAUAUCGGAUUAGCUAGUUGGUGGGGUAAAGGCCCACCAAGGCGACGAUCCGUAGCUGGUUUGAGAGGACGACCAGCCACACUGGGACUGAGACACGGCCCAGACUCCUACGGGAGGCAGCAGUGGGGAAUUUUGGACAAUGGGGGCAACCCUGAUCCAGCCAUCCCGCGUGUGCGAUGAAGGCCUUCGGGUUGUAAAGCACUUUUGGCAGAGAAGAAACGACUCUGGAUAAUACCCGGGGUUAAUGACGGUAUCUGCAGAAUAAGCACCGGCUAACUACGUGCCAGCCGCCGCGGUAA
RNAcentral lists this ribosomal RNA (507 nucleotides) under uncultured bacterium. Its description in RNAcentral is "partial 16S ribosomal RNA". It matches the Rfam family "Bacterial small subunit ribosomal RNA", at positions 30 to 523 of the family's 1533-position model. The record is from RNAcentral.